GCUUCAUGUCGAAAUAACUGCAUAAAAUCUAAUUCAAUUGAAUUUGUCACAUGCCCUGAAUACAACUGGUGUAGAUUUAACCUUGAUUAUGAGCCAUUCCCAACGAUGCAGUUUAAAAAGUAAUUACAAUAAAAUGGUAACAUACACAAGAAUGGAGCUAUAUACAAGGAGUACCAUACAGCCUGAUUAUGCAACUAUUUCGAUCACUUAUGGCUAUUCUCAACUGUUUGCAUACAAGGUCCAGAAGGGUACAUUAUCAGGCUACUCAUAUGGGGGAUUUUGAUCACACCACGGUGUGUGCGCGCUCUCUCUUCCCGUUUCGUUCCGUUUAAGAAAUAUUUUUUAACAGAAUCAGCGAAAUGUAAAUAGGUUUUCCUUUGGUUUCUGCAUUUUACAUUCAGCAGCCAAGAACAGACUGUAGUAGUAAAUAAAACAAUUGAAAUAAGUGAACAAUAAGCUAUUGCAAGUCUAGUUUUUUCAUGGGACUCCACGAGCUAAAGAGGAUUUAUUAGGAAUACUACUACAGGCCUACCCAAUGAAUUUACACAGUGAAAUAUCUGGUUUAAAAAAAAUCAGAUUUAUAUGAAAUUAGUCAGCCUAAGAUAAACAUAUUGCUCAAAAACAGAGGAGAACAACUCCUAUGCACACAGCUACUCCAGCCAUCCACAUGGACUGUUGUCCUCCCUAUUUGAUAGCAACUCAAACGUCGAUUGAAUUUUUAUUUAACCUUUAUUUAACUAGGCGAGUCAGUUAAGACCAAAUUCUGAUUUACAAUGACGGCCUACCCCAGCCAAACCCUAACCCAAAAUUGUAACGGGUUUCUUCCUGGGAAGGAGAGGAGGACCAAAAUGCAGCGUGGCUAUUGUUAAGCAUCUUUAAUAAAGACGAAAACACUAUACAAAUACAAAAUAAGAAAACGUGGUAAAACCGAAACAGUCCUAACUGGUGCAGAGAACACAGAGACAGGAAACAAUCACCCACAAAAUACUCAAAGAAUAUGGCUGCCUAAAUAUGGUUCCCAAUCAGAGACAAUGAUAAACACCUGCCUCUGAUUGAGAACCACUCCAGGCAACCAUAGACUUACCUAGAACACUAAACUGAACACAACCCCAUUAAUCUACAAAACCCCUAGAUAACACAAAACACAUAAAUCACCCAUGUCAUACCCUGGCCUAACCACAAUAAUAAAGAAAACACAGAAUACUAAGGCCAGGGCGUGACAAAAUUUAUCUCGAUGGUUGUACAGUCGUCUCAAAUAAAACUGUGAAGGACCUCGGCAUUACUCUGGACCCUGAUCUCUCUUUUGAUGAACAUAUCAAGACUGUUUCAAGGACAGCUUUUUUUCCAUCUACGUAACAUUGCAAAAAAUCAGAAACUUUCUGUCCAAAAAUUAUGCAGAAAAAUUUAUCCAUGUUACUUCUAGGUUAGACUACUGCAAUGCUCUACUUUCCUGCUACCCGGAUAAAGCACUAAAUAAACUUCAGUUAGUGCUAAAUACGGCUGCUAGAAUCCUGACUAGAACCAAAAAAUUUGAUCAUAUUACUCCAGUGCUAGCCUCCGUACUGGCUUCCUGUUAAGGCAAGGGCUGAUUUCAAAGUUUUACUGCUAACCUACAAAGCAUUACAUGGGCUUGCGCCUACCUAUCUUUCUGAUUUGGUCCUGCCGUACAUACCUACACAGCCCUAGAAUUUCUAAGCAAACAGCUGGAGGCAGGGCUUUCUCCUAUAGAGCUCAAUUUUUAUGGGAUGGUCUGCUUACCCAUGUGAGAGAAACAGACUCGGUCUCAACCUUUAAGUCUUUACUGAAGACUCAUCUCUUCAGUGGGUCAUAUGAUUGAGUGUAGUCUGGCCCAGGAGUGUGAAGGAGAACGGAAAGGCUCUGGAGCAACGAACCGCCCUUGCUGUCUCUGCCUGGCCGGUUCCCCUCUCUCCACUGGGAUUCUCUGCCUCUAACCCUAUUACAGGGGCUGAGUCACUGGCUUACUGGUGCUCUUUCAUGCCGUCCCUAGGAGGGGUGCGUCACUUGCGUGGGUUGGGUCACUGAUGUGAUCUUCCUGUCUGGGUUGGCGCCCCCCCUGGGUUGUGCCGUGGCGGAGGUCUUUGUGGGCUAUACUCGGCCUUGUCUCAGGAUGGACCUGAGCCCUAGGACCAUGCCUCAGGACUACCUGGCAUGAUGACUUCUUGCUGUUCCCAGUUCACCUGGCCGUACUGCUGCUCCAGUUUCAACUGUUCUGCCUGCGGCUAUGGAAUCCUAACCUGUUCACCGGACGUGCUACCUGUCCCAGACCUGCUGUUUUCAACUCUCUAGAGACAGCAGGAGUGGUAGAGAUACUCCUAGUGAUCGGCUAUGAAAAGCCAACUGACAUUUACUCAUGAGGUGCUGACUUCCUAGCCACCAUGCUUCUACACCUGCAUUGCUUGCUGUUUGGGGUUUUAAGCUGGGUUUCUAUACAGAACUUUGAGAUAUCAGCUGAUGUACGAAGGGCUAUAUAAAUACAUUUGAUUUGAUUUUGAUUUGAUUUGAACCCAGACGACCCUGGGCUAAUUGUGCGCCGGGACUCCUAAUCACAGCCGGUUGUGAUACAGCCUGGAAUCAAACCAGGGUCUGUAGUGACGCCUCUAGCACUAAGAUGCAGUGCCUUUAGACCGCUGCGCCACUCGGGAGCUUUUCACUUUUUUCCGCAUUGAGGAACCAUCUCCAAAAUUCCAUUGAACUUUUCUAGACUCUCUUCAGCAGACAGAGACGGCAAAGAAACGUUUAAAUGAUUGUGAAGAUAACUUUGUUCACAAGCUGUGGUCUUUGUAUAAUUGUGCUAUGCCAUGCAUGUUGAUUAUUUCUGUGCUUUCAAGACAACUGGGAACUAUGGGAAAAAAUGAGGUCAAAUCAGGACAUUGGUGAUGUUCAGGUCGGAAAGUCGGAGCUCUAGAAAGAUGCAUUUAUCCUGAUCUGGUAUUCAUUUGUUAUUAAUAUCGAUAGAGAUAUGGUAUUCUACCUACAAAAAAUCUCCUGUUGAUUAUUUAUUGGCGUAAUGCAUAGCUAGACCUGCAGAUUGUUUGUCAUCAUGUAGGUCUGCCUUUUAAAGGUGUAGGAAGUGGAAACUUGUAUAUUAACAUUUACAUUGAUUAUGCUGCUUGGUUGUACAAAAAAAUGACAUGGUAAAAUGAUAAGCUCGUUAUAAACUAUGAGUUAUGUUACUGGUUUCUUUCAUUUGGAUUCACCCAACAUGGCCGACAUAAUUAUACAAAGAACACUAUAAGGUGAGGCAAUGGUGGUGCAUUCAUAAAUCAUUUAUGUCUAUACAUUUAUUCAGUA
This is a long non-coding RNA of Oncorhynchus tshawytscha (Chinook salmon), 3312 nucleotides long. NCBI's taxonomy places the organism in Eukaryota, Metazoa, Chordata, Actinopteri, Salmoniformes, Salmonidae. The record is from Ensembl.